Molecule: transfer RNA, 67 nt
Filed under: Rhingia formosana
Lineage: Eukaryota; Metazoa; Arthropoda; Insecta; Diptera; Syrphidae
Also listed under: 1 other name
Description: tRNA-Asp
Source: RNAcentral
AAAAAAUUAGUUAAAAUAUAACAUUAGUAUGUCAAACUAAAAUUAUUAUCCCUUAUAAUAUUUUUUG